AGUGGUCUAAGACCAUGCGGAUCUAGCGCGACCAUUAAUUCCGUCUCCGUCAUAACUAGAAACGCAUAAGCCCCUUUCAGCAUCGUUAACGCAUUUUUAACGCGGUCUUUGAAUUCAGGUAAGCCGGCGCGUUUUAUUAAAUGAGCAAGAACUUCUGUAUCAGAGCUUGUUUGAAAAAUGCUCCCUUGCGCCUCUAAUUGGAACUUCAGCGCAUUAGCAUUCACAAGGUUGCCAUUAUGGGCAACAGCCAAUCCGCCGCUCUGG
This 264-nucleotide non-coding RNA is filed under the name Bacillus methanolicus MGA3. The record is from RNAcentral. Lineage: Bacteria; Bacillati; Bacillota; Bacilli; Caryophanales; Bacillaceae.